GUGGCGAACGGGUGAGUAACACGUGAGCAAUCUGCCCCUGACUCUGGGAUAAGCGUUGGAAACGACGUCUAAUACCGGAUACGAACUGAGAUCGCAUGGUCAUCAGUUGGAAAGAACUUCGGUCAGGGAUGAGCUCGCGGCCUAUCAGCUAGUUGGUGAGGUAAUGGCCCACCAAGGCGACGACGGGUAGCCGGCCUGAGAGGGUGACCGGCCACACUGGGACUGAGACACGGCCCAGACUCCUAUGGGAGGCAGCAGUAGGGAAUUUUCGGCAAUGGGCGAAAGCCUGACCGAGCAAUGCCGCGUGAGGGACGAAGGCCUUCGGGUUGUAAACCUCUUUUAGCAGGGAAGAAGCGAAAGUGACGGUACCUGCAGAAAAAGCACCGGCUAACUACGUGCCAGCAGCCGCGGUAAUACGUAGGGUGCAAGCGUUGUCCGGAAUUAUUGGGCGUAAAGAGCUCGUAGGCGGUUUGUCGCGUCUGCUGUGAAAAUCCGAGGCUCAACCUCGGACCUGCAGUGGGUACGGGCAAACUAGGGUGCGGUAGGGGAGAUUGGAAUUCCUGGUGUAGCGGUGGAAUGCGCAGAUAUCAGGAGGAACACCAAUGGCGAAGGCAGAUCUCUGGGCCGUAACUGACGCUGAGGAGCGAAAGCGUGGGGAGCGAACAGGAUUAGAUACCCUGGUAGUCCACGCCCUAAACGAUGUCUACUAGUUGUUGGUGGAGUAAAAUCCAUGAGUAACGCAGCUAACGCGUGAAGUAGACCGCCUGGGG
RNAcentral lists this ribosomal RNA (770 nucleotides) under uncultured bacterium. RNAcentral's name for it is "bacterial SSU rRNA". It matches the Rfam family "Bacterial small subunit ribosomal RNA", at positions 95 to 878 of the family's 1533-position model. The record is from RNAcentral.